GAUGAACGCUGGCGGCGUGCCUAAUACAUGCAAGUCGAGCGAACAGACGAGGAGCUUGCUCCUCUGACGUUAGCGGCGGACGGGUGAGUAACACGUGGAUAACCUACCUAUAAGACUGGGAUAACUUCGGGAAACCGGAGCUAAUACCGGAUAAUAUAUUGAACCGCAUGGUUCAAUAGUGAAAGACGGUUUUGCUGUCACUUAUAGAUGGAUCCGCGCCGCAUUAGCUAGUUGGUAAGGUAACGGCUUACCAAGGCGACGAUGCGUAGCCGACCUGAGAGGGUGAUCGGCCACACUGGAACUGAGACACGGUCCAUACUCCUACGGGAGGCAGCAGUAGGGAAUCUUCCGCAAUGGGCGAAAGCCUGACGGAGCAACGCCGCGUGAGUGAUGAAGGUCUUCGGAUCGUAAAACUCUGUUAUUAGGGAAGAACAAAUGUGUAAGUAACUAUGCACGUCUUGACGGUACCUAAUCAGAAAGCCACGGCUAACUACGUG
This 497-nucleotide ribosomal RNA is filed under the name uncultured bacterium. RNAcentral's name for it is "partial 16S ribosomal RNA". It matches the Rfam family "Bacterial small subunit ribosomal RNA", at positions 28 to 507 of the family's 1533-position model. The record is from RNAcentral.